UGUUUGCAAUUGGGCUGUUGCACUUGGGGUCAUAAGGGGGGUAAAUGCUGGAAAAUCACAUCGAAACCUGUUCCGGAGACAUAUUCUAAGACUACUUAAACACCCGGCGGUGUCGAAAUGGGUCUAUAGCUCUGCCUGAACUGUCGUCCAAUUGGUUUACAAGUCCGGCUGAAGUGACAGGCCAUCAAAAACUGUACAGCGUGACUGAUUCGGAGACGGCCCUCAACUCUCGCCCAGUCGUGUCGAGAUGAUCGGUGUCUUUGCAGAUUACACGGAAUUGAGCACCCGGGCCAGACUGACACUUUCCGGAGCCUGCCCGAGACGGAACUCGAGCCGAGCAAUCAUAGGUCCAGGUGUGACAAAAGACUUAAA
Molecule: long non-coding RNA, 372 nt
Organism: Dreissena polymorpha
Lineage: Eukaryota; Metazoa; Mollusca; Bivalvia; Myida; Dreissenidae
Exons: 3
Source: RefSeq, a predicted model, not a curated record